RNAcentral lists this ribosomal RNA (301 nucleotides) under uncultured Methanosphaera sp. Its description in RNAcentral is "partial 16S ribosomal RNA". It matches the Rfam family "Bacterial small subunit ribosomal RNA", at positions 496 to 795 of the family's 1533-position model. Lineage: Archaea; Methanobacteriati; Methanobacteriota; Methanobacteria; Methanobacteriales; Methanobacteriaceae. The record is from RNAcentral.
UGUAGGUGCGCGGACACAAUCGGAGUGAAGACGAAGGGAGUGUGCUUUAUUCGUAUUUACAUGUCGUAAAGGGCACCUAGGCGUAUCAGAAAUGCAUGUGUUAUAUCCCAGGGGGCAACCGUGGAACUGACUUGUAAACGCCUGAGUUUGAGGUCGAGAGAGGUGGGUGGAAUUCCGAGUGUAGUGGUGAAAUUCGUAGAUAUUCGGAGGAACACCAGUGGCGAAGGCGGCUCACUGGCUCGAUACUGACGCUGAGGUGCGAAAGCGUGGGGAGCAAACAGGAUUAGACACCCGUGUAGUC